Glycine max (soybean) is the source of this 110-nucleotide non-coding RNA. The record is from Rfam. NCBI's taxonomy places the organism in Eukaryota, Viridiplantae, Streptophyta, Magnoliopsida, Fabales, Fabaceae.
UUUUUAUUGGAUGUUGACUGACAUGUGUCAUGUUUUUAUUGGAUGUUGACAUUAAUUAGAUCUACAAAAUUAACAUCUAAUAAAAGCACGACACAUGACGAUCAACGUUC